This is a long non-coding RNA of Tyto alba (common barn owl), 1878 nucleotides long. RefSeq lists it as uncharacterized. The record is from RefSeq and is a predicted model, not a curated record. Lineage: Eukaryota; Metazoa; Chordata; Aves; Strigiformes; Tytonidae. The transcript is spliced from 3 exons.
GGGCCCGGCCCCCUGCGCCCCUGCCCACGGCCGGGGGGGGCCGGGGCCGCAGAGCAUAACUGUCAGCCCUAGCUUCGGUGCACCUUCCCCACUGUGCAGAGGGCAUCAUGUGUCCUCGCGUGGACUACCCCGCUGUGAUCUUCCUCUCUCCUGACUGCCCCAACACAAAAACUGCGUUACAAGGAGAGGGUGCACCUGCCUUUCACUUCCAAGCAAUAGGUAUUAAUAGAUAAUCAAGGUCCAGUUCCAGCCUUUACUCCAGUAAAGCCAUGAAACUUCGCCUCAGUAAGAACUGCCAACUUCACUUCCAUCCCUUCAUCUCACAGCCGAGAUUGUCCCAGGUGAUCGAUGUCAGACUCAAUAUGAGAAAUAUUGUAUAGCACAUUUCAGCUGAGUGAAUACAGCUAUCAAUUACUGUGGUACAAAUGGUACUACUAGACUUCUGUGAGUCAGGCUCUGGAAGAAGACAGGGCUACAUGCAGCCGUUAAAAACAGAUACAAUAUUUGCAUGUGCUGUGUCUUUCAUUUAACAUACUCAAUUUCACGCCUCUUAGUAACUGCUUUCAAUUUCCUAACUGAAGCAAGGGAAGACUGGUGAGAAGCAUAAAGGUUAGCAUUUAAAGGGAGAUGCUCAACUGAUACGAAACAGCUGCCCUGACAUCAUUUGUGCUACGGCAAUUGGUAUCAGCUGAUGAUCUGCCCUUUAUAUUCAAAGAAUCCCAAAGUGCUGGGUACAUAUAUGCACUGUGAGAAUGUUUAAACUCAACCACAUCCAGUCCCAGUAACAGAAUACGUGCCGCUAAAAUACAUACACCAUGUAGAAAAAAAUCCAAAUAUACAUGCACUCUAGCUGCACUGGAGAUUAUAGUUUAUCAUGCAGAUUAAUGCAUUAUUUGAUUCCAGCUCUAAUAUUGAUCCCCUGUGUAACAAGCGUGUUUACCUCUUUUUCUCUAGGUCACUUCAGCAUCUAUAAACUUCUUUUCCCUCCACCUUAAAAAGUCAUUCUGAGGGGAUCUGGACGAAAAGCAGUAUAUAUGUCAGAUUAACAAUGCAAUAUUCAUCAUAUUUAAAAGAUUUUAUUGAAUCCUUCCUAAUUCUGGUGGUUAGUGAUAACUAUAGUUUUUAACUGGGCUCCCCACACAGGGCAAAUUAAUUUCAGAUCUGCCCAUCUGAACUCCCUCUGCAGAUUGAGUUAGCGAUGUAAUUCUUUCUUGGCUUCCUUACUUACCAAAGGGGGAAGCCAGAAUAUAAUAAAAUGUAUGCAUACUACUGUUAAAGAAGGUAACUACAUCGCUUGUGGCCGUUUUGGGAGUAGCCGAGGCUAAAAAGUAAAGACUCAUGUCUCAUAUAAAAUAUGGAAGUUAGGUCUAGAACUUUGUAAGAUAUAUUCUGUCUUACACUUCGAGUACGAAGCCACCAAAUCUCUCUUGGAAGAAUGCAGCAUGAGCCUUACAUUUUCUGUUACUUUUAUUUAGCUCCAUCAUGGAGGGUCUAGCGCAACUCCUACAGGAAGAGAGUUUCCAUUCAAAAGUGAGCUGUGAAUUAAGGAAAGGAUUUUAUAGAAAUUUGAAAUUGCACACAGACAAGUCCACCCCUGGCAGGCAAAGGAAAAGUUGUGGCUCCAUUUGAUACCCAUCACUUAUUUCUCUGAACAGCUAUGGGAACAGCACCUCCCAGUGACUUCUGACAAUUUGCAUAGAUAAUUAACUUGCACAGAUUCAAAACCUGCAAUAAACAGUUUCCCCUACCCUGCUGCUCUUUUUCUGUGUUUUGAGAGCAAGGGAGAGGUCUGGGCACGUUUUUUUCCCCUUCAUCAUGUAGUUCUUCACCUAAGCCUCCCUUUGCCCCCAUUAUAUUAAAAGCCUGCUUAUGAGCAGA